This 301-nucleotide ribosomal RNA is filed under the name uncultured bacterium. RNAcentral's name for it is "partial 16S ribosomal RNA". It matches the Rfam family "Bacterial small subunit ribosomal RNA", at positions 509 to 808 of the family's 1533-position model. The record is from RNAcentral.
CAGCAGCCGCGGUAAUACGUAGGGUGCAAGCGUUAAUCGGAAUUACUGGGCGUAAAGCGUGCGCAGGCGGUUUGUUAAGACAGAUGUGAAAUCCCCGGGCUCAACCUGGGAACUGCAUUUGUGACUGGCAAGCUAGAGUAUGGCAGAGGGGGGUGGAAUUCCGCGUGUAGCAGUGAAAUGCGUAGAUAUGCGGAGGAACACCGAUGGCGAAGGCAGCCCCCUGGGCCAAUACUGACGCUCAUGCACGAAAGCGUGGGGAGCAAACAGGAUUAGAUACCCGCGUAGUCCCUGUCUCUUUACC